GACGAACGCUGGCGGCGUGCUUAACACAUGCAAGUCGAACGGAAAGGCCCUGCUUUUGUGGGGUGCUCGAGUGGCGAACGGGUGAGUAACACGUGAGUAACCUGCCCUUGACUUUGGGAUAACUUCAGGAAACUGGGGCUAAUACCGGAUAGGAGCUCCUGCUGCAUGGUGGGGGUUGGAAAGUUUCGGCGGUUGGGGAUGGACUCGCGGCUUAUCAGCUUGUUGGUGGGGUAGUGGCUUACCAAGGCAUUGACGGGUAGCCGGCCUGAGAGGGUGACCGGCCACAUUGGGACUGAGAUACGGACCAGACUCCUACGGGAGGCAGCAGUGGGGAAUAUUGCACAAUGGGCGGAAGCCUGAUGCAGCAACGCCGCGUGCGGGAUGCCGGCCUUCGGGUUGUAAACCGCUUUCGCCUGUGACGAAGCGUGAGUGACGGUAAUGGGUAAAGAAGCACCGGCUAACUACGUG
This 468-nucleotide ribosomal RNA is filed under the name uncultured bacterium. RNAcentral's name for it is "partial 16S ribosomal RNA". It matches the Rfam family "Bacterial small subunit ribosomal RNA", at positions 28 to 507 of the family's 1533-position model. The record is from RNAcentral.